GGAUUCCCCUAGUAACGGCGAGUGAAGCGGGAAGAGCUCAAAUUUUAAAUCUGGCGUUCUCCGGGCGUCCGAGUUGUAAUCUAGAGAAAGUGUUUUUCCGUGGUUGGACCCACCAUAAAGUUUACCUCGAACGGUACAUCAUAGAGGGUGAGAAUCCCGUGUGUUGGUGGAGCCCAGUGCUCUGCGAUGCGCUCUCGACGAGUCGAGUUGUUUGGGAAUGCAGCUCAAAAUGGGAGGUAAAUUCCUUCUAAAGCUAA
RNAcentral lists this ribosomal RNA (257 nucleotides) under uncultured Tulasnellaceae. RNAcentral's name for it is "partial large subunit ribosomal RNA". It matches the Rfam family "Eukaryotic large subunit ribosomal RNA", at positions 72 to 319 of the family's 3401-position model. Lineage: Eukaryota; Fungi; Basidiomycota; Agaricomycetes; Cantharellales; Tulasnellaceae. The record is from RNAcentral.